GACUUGGUUUCACAUUCUGUGUCUACAAGUGCAGGAGCCACUUAGCGGUAUUUGCUGAGCUCUGAGUACUCAAAAGGUGAAGACAUCAACACAACCAGGAAGGUCGCAAGCUGGUUGAGUGGGAAUACAACCACGACCCAUCACAAAAUACAAAUAUACUGAGAUAUAUAUCUACAGGAAGGCAAAUUUAAUGCUGCCUGGAGGUAUGAGAAGAUCUGCUUCAGUGGGGACACUGCAGCC
This 240-nucleotide long non-coding RNA is filed under the name Ictidomys tridecemlineatus (thirteen-lined ground squirrel). RNAcentral's name for it is "lncRNA (ENSSTOG00000033640.1)". The record is from RNAcentral. Lineage: Eukaryota; Metazoa; Chordata; Mammalia; Rodentia; Sciuridae.